Molecule: long non-coding RNA, 698 nt
Organism: Aedes aegypti (yellow fever mosquito)
Lineage: Eukaryota; Metazoa; Arthropoda; Insecta; Diptera; Culicidae
Exons: 2
Source: RefSeq, a predicted model, not a curated record
AUGUGAUAGGUCACAAUCAUGCAUUUGCCUGUUUUGUAUUUUUCUUUUUUCGUUUUAUUAUAUUUUUCUGCUUUUUUUUGUAAAUAAUUAUGCUUAACAUUAGUUUAAAUUUAUAUUUAUAAAUAUGUAAAUAAUAUUCCUAUAUUCCCUAUCCCAAGUUACCAAUUACCCUUAAUAUAAAAUCAAUGAAUUAAAAAAUAAAUGAAAUAAAAACAAUUUGUAAAUAAAAAUAAUUUAAAUAUUUGAAUUCAAAUCCCCGUCCUAUAAAACCCUACAUCAUCAUUCCUUCCUUAUGCACUGCAUCAUGGCGCCUUGUACCAACUGUGCGGAAACAAAUCCCUCCCGGGAAAUGUUCCACCCAUGGGUUUUGCUGCAUCAUCCUAAGCGAUAUAAAAAGGAUAUGCAGGCCAAGGAAAGGAGAUCUUUUGGAACUAAAUUCCUAACCGUGUCUCGUGAGUGCAACCGCCGAUCUCUAAUACCAGUGCCGAAAUAGUGGAGUCAUCAUCCAAGUGCGCAAUUGAGCGGAACGAAGGCGUCCAGAUCCGGCUUCAGGUGGCCCAGACACGAAGUUACCGACAUCAGACGAUCCAGAGGUCGGGUAAGCCCGCAAAACGAUGUAAUCAAAUGAAAAUAAAUGUGCAUAUCCUGUACUUCCUAUGAAUUCCCCUCCAAAUAAAUAAAUUUAUUGUUUAAAAUUU